Molecule: long non-coding RNA, 2781 nt
Filed under: Macaca mulatta (Rhesus monkey)
Lineage: Eukaryota; Metazoa; Chordata; Mammalia; Primates; Cercopithecidae
Description: lncRNA (ENSMMUG00000057642.1)
Source: RNAcentral
GCACAACGUAAAGACAUUUGAACCUGAGGAAAGGCGUGCAACUAAGAGUGAUGAAAGUUUGAAAGAGUGCAGACUUUUCAGUCUGCAGGACGAAGCUCAGCCUGGUUCCACCAAUGAUUCCUCAGGACUGGAUUCACAUUUGUGCUCUGGGAGUGCCGAAGCUCAGCCUGGUUCCACCAGUGUUUCCGGGGUUCACACGUGUGAGCUCCACAUUAUGCUGAGAUGGCUAUGUACAAGUGUAUCCAAAGUGACAGUAGAUACAUUGAAAGUCGAAUCAACUGUGCUAAAUCUUGAAUCAAUUCUCUGUUGCCUUUUGCAGGUUGUUUAUGUUUUGUAUAGAAGCGGAUGGUUUAAACACUCAAACUGCACAACAGCUUUAGGGUUGCUCUGCUCACCUCUAUUUCUUCUUCUCCUGCUAGGAAACCCCUCUAUUCCCAGAACAAGUCUCUCCACCUCCCGCUCUUGCCUGAUGCUGUAUGGCUCUGAUGGCCUCUCCUGUGUCCCCUUAGCCCAGGUGCUAAGUGGUCUCUGUUCCCUUAAAAUAACUGUUUUGUGAUGUUAUUGGUCGCUUUUUAAAAAUCCCCUCAUCCCUCUUCUUUUCUCUCUGCUAAACGGCAGCCUUACCAUCUUUUAAGAACAGAAGUCUUUUCUUUCUGCCUGUUAAAGUCAGUAGCUGGUUUGUUACCCAAUAACAAAAGCCCACAAUAUCCUGACCUCAAAGACUAGGAAGGUAGGUGGUACUAAGGUCAGGGAUUGGGAGUCUUAGAGAGCAAGCAACACAUUGUCAUCUCUCUGAAAAGUAAAUUUCCAGUAGCUAGCAAGAGAUUUAUAAAUGCUGAAAUCUAUUAGUCUACUAAUUCCUUUCAUACAAUCAAAGAUCUGUGCAAAGAUUUAUGUUCAUCAUAGUGUCAUUCCUUGUAGUGAAAAACAUGGGAGUAGCACCCAUGCCUGUCAGUAGGGCUUGGAUGGACAAAGUCUAUUAUUGAGUCCUAUGCAAUCGUUCAAAAUCAUGUUUGAUUAUAAUAGAUGAGAAAAUGAUCAUACUAUAAUGCUAAUUGAAAAAAGAAGAUAUAAAACUGUAUAUAUGUUCUGAUCUCAAAGUUUUUAAAAAUAAAAUUUUUUUUAUAUAUAAACACAUAUAUAUGUUUAUAUUUAAAAAUAAAAAUCUGUUUAGCUCUGAAAUUUGUCUUUUUGACUUAAAGCUAUAUUAUGGACAUCCUUUUAGGAUCAUAUUUAUAGAAUUGACUCAUUCUUUAAAAUUUUUUUUUUAUUAUACUUUAAGUUCUAGGGUACAUGUGCACAACGUGCAGGUUUGUUACAUAUGUAUACAUGUGCCAUGUUGGUGUGCUGCACCUAUUAACUCGUCAUUUACAUUAGGUAUAUCUCCUAAUGCUAUCCCUACCCCUUCCCCGCUCCCAACAAUAGGACCCAGUGUGUGAUGUUCCCCUUCCUGUGUCCAAGUGAUCUCAUUGUUCAGUUCCCACCUAUGAGUGAGAACAUGCGGUGUUUGCUUUUCUGUUCUUGCGAUAGUUUGCUGAGAAUGAUGGUUUCCAGCUGCAUCCGUGUCCCUACAAAGGACACGAACUUAUCCUUUUUUAUGUCAUUCUUUUAAAUUAUACAAUAUUUUAUUGUAUGGCUGAAUUGAAAUUUAUUGAACCAUUUUCUUAUUGAUGAAAUUCAAGUGCUUUUAGGUUUUGUUCAGUUUUUUAAAUUGUAAAUGGACAAUUUACAAUUAUAUAGAACUAUGGGGUAGAAAGCACUAUUAUGAUUUAUGAAUACAAUGUGAAAUAAUUAAAUCAAGCUAGUUAACAUACUCAUCAUCUCAAAUAAUUAACGUAUUUUGUGGUGAGACCAUUUGAAAUUUACUCUCUUAGCAAUUUUGAAAUGUGAAUUACUCUAUUAUUAACUAGAUUCACCAUACUGUGUAAUAAAACUCCGAAAAAGAAAAAAGCAACAUAUUCCUCCUAUCUAACUGAAAUUUUAUUCCCUCUAACCAUCAGCUCUCUCCUUUCUCCCCACCCCCUAGCAUCUGUAACCACCAUUCUACUCUCUGCUUCUACAAGUUUGAUUGUUUUAGAUUCCACAUACAUGUGAGAAUAUGCAGUAUUUGUCUUUCUGUGCCUGUCUUAUUUCACUUAGCAUCAUGUUCUCCAAUUCCAUCAAUGUUGUCGCAGAUAACAGAGUUUUCUUCUUCUUAAAUGCUGAAUAGUAUUCUGUUGUGUAUAUAUGCCACAUUUCCCUUAUUCACUCCUCUGUUGAUGGACACUUAGGUUGAUUCUAUAACUUGGCUAUUAUGAAUAGUGCUGCAAUCAAUAUGGGGGUGCAGGCAUCUCUUUAACAAACUGAUUUCACAUCUUUUGGGUAAAUACUUAGAAGUGGUAUUGCUGGAUCAUAUAGUAAUUCUAUUUUUAGUUUUGGAGACACCUCUAAAAUGUUGUCCAUAAUGGUUGUACUAAUUCAUAUUUCUACCAAUAGUGCACAAUGAUUCCCUUUUUGCCAUGUUCUUGCUGACAUUUAUUCUCUUUGUCUUUUUGAUAAAAGCCAUUCUGGCAAAUCUGAGAUGUAUCUCAUUGUGAUUUUAACUUGCAUUUUCCUAAUAAUUAGAAAUGUUGAACAUUUUUCCACUUACCUGUUGGCCAUUCAUAUGUCUUCUUUUGAGAAAUGUCUACUCUUAUGUAUUUUUUUAAAAAACGUAUGCUCAUGGCAGAAAAUAACUUCAGUGUUAAACCACAGUUGUCUCUGGGAGGUUGAAUAUCGUGUAAUUAAAACAUUUUUAAUUUU